CUUUUAACGGCCGCGGUAUUCUAACCGUGCAAAGGUAGCGUAAUCACUUGUCUCCUAAAUAGAGACUAGUAUGAACGGCUAAAUGAGAAAAAAUCUGUCUCCUACAACCCAUCAGUGAAACUGAUCUUUCAGUCCAAAAGCUGAAAUAUUCACAUAAGACGAGAAGACCCUGUGGAGCUUAAGGUACUAUACCAAUAGCAAUAUAAUCAACCUGGUUGCCUACCUUAAGUUGGGGCGACUUCGGAAAAAAACAAAACUUCCGAGCACAGAACCACUACCUCUUUCUAAGACCAACAAGUCAAAGAACCUGCUUGACCCAGUCACACUGAUCAACGAACCAAGUUACCCCAGGGAUAACAGCGCUAUCUUCUUCAAGAGUCCCUAUCGACAAGAAGGUUUACGACCUCGAUGUUGGAUCAGGACACCCUAAUGGUGCAGCCGCUAUUAAAGGUUCGUUUGUUCAACGAUUAAUAGUCCUACG
RNAcentral lists this ribosomal RNA (481 nucleotides) under Sphenomorphus multisquamatus. RNAcentral's name for it is "partial large subunit ribosomal RNA". It matches the Rfam family "Bacterial large subunit ribosomal RNA", at positions 1921 to 2600 of the family's 2925-position model. The record is from RNAcentral. Lineage: Eukaryota; Metazoa; Chordata; Lepidosauria; Squamata; Scincidae.